AACUUUCGACAACGGUUCACUUGGUUCUGGCAUCGAUGAAGAACGCAGCGAAAUGCGAUAAGUAAUGUGAAUUGCAGAAUUCAGUGAAUCAUCGAAUCUUUGAACGCACAUUGCGCCCCCUGGUAUUCCGGGGGGCAUGCCUGUUCGAGCGUCAUUACAACCCUCAAGCUCUGCUUGGUAUUGGGCCCCGCCGGUUCCGGCGGGCCCUAAAGUCAGUGGCGGUGCCAUCCGGCUCCGAGCGUAGUAAUUCUUCUCGCUCUGGAGACCCGGCUGUGUGCUUGCCAGCAACCCCCAAUUUUUUAAGGUUGACCUCGGAUCAGGUAGGGAUACCCGCUGAACUUAAGCAUAUCAAUAAGCGGAGGAU
Molecule: unclassified non-coding RNA, 364 nt
Filed under: uncultured Ascomycota
Lineage: Eukaryota; Fungi; Ascomycota
Description: sequence contains ITS2
Rfam family: 5.8S ribosomal RNA (bases 1-154)
Source: RNAcentral